RNAcentral lists this ribosomal RNA (497 nucleotides) under uncultured bacterium. Its description in RNAcentral is "partial 16S ribosomal RNA". It matches the Rfam family "Bacterial small subunit ribosomal RNA", at positions 28 to 507 of the family's 1533-position model. The record is from RNAcentral.
GAUGAACGCUGGCGGCGUGCCUAAUACAUGCAAGUCGAGCGAACAGACGAGGAGCUUGCUCCUCUGACGUUAGCGGCGGACGGGUGAGUAACACGUGGAUAACCUACCUAUAAGACUGGGAUAACUUCGGGAAACCGGAGCUAAUACCGGAUAAUAUAUUGAACCGCAUGGUUCAAUAGUGAAAGACGGAUUUGCUGUCACUUAUAGAUGGAUCCGCGCCGCAUUAGCUAGUUGGUAAGGUAACGGCUUAACAAGGCAACGAUGCGUAGCCGACCUGAGAGGGUGAUCAGCCACACUGGAACUGAGACACGGUCCAGACUCCUACGGGAGGCAGCAGUAGGGAAUCUUCCGCAAUGGGCGAAAGCCUGACGGAGCAACGCCGCUGGAGUGAUGAAGGUCUUCGGAUCGUAAAACUCUGUUAUUAGGGAAGAACAAAUGUGUAAGUAACUAUGCACGUCUUGACGGUACCUAAACAGAAAGCCACGGCUAACUACGUG